This 499-nucleotide ribosomal RNA is filed under the name uncultured Desulfobulbus sp. Its description in RNAcentral is "bacterial SSU rRNA". It matches the Rfam family "Bacterial small subunit ribosomal RNA", at positions 886 to 1382 of the family's 1533-position model. The record is from RNAcentral. Lineage: Bacteria; Pseudomonadati; Thermodesulfobacteriota; Desulfobulbia; Desulfobulbales; Desulfobulbaceae.
AGCCCGCUCAGAAACUCAAUGAAUUGAGGGGGCCCGCACAAGCGGUGGAGUAUGUGGUUAAUUCGAUGCAACGCGAAGAACCUUACCUGGUCUUGACAUCCCGGAGACCCUUAGGAAACUAGGGGGUGCUUCCAUCUGGAAGAAUCUGGAGACAGGUGCUGCAUGGCUGUCGUCAGCUCGUGUCGUGAGAUGUUGGGUUAAGUCCCGCAACGAGCGCAACCCUUGCCUUUAGUUGCCAGCAGUUCGGCUGGGCACUCUAAAGGGACUGCCGGUGUUAAACCGGAGGAAGGUGGGGAUGACGUCAAGUCCUCAUGGCCUUUAUGACCAGGGCUACACACGUACUACAAUGGCCGAUACAAAGGGCAGCGACACUGCGAGGUGAAGCCAAUCCCGUAAAAUCGGUCUCAGUCCGGAUUGGAGUCUGCAACUCGACUCCAUGAAGUUGGAAUCGCUAGUAAUCGUGGAUCAGCAUGCCACGGUGAAUACGUUCCCGGGCCUU